AGUCCCUCGCGGAUGGAGCUGAAAUCAGUCGAAGAUACCAGCUGGCUGCAACUGUUUAUUAAAAACACAGCACUGUGCAAACACGAAAGUGGACGUAUACGGUGUGACGCCUGCCCGGUGCCGGAAGGUUAAUUGAUAGGGUUAGCGGUAACGCGAAGCUCUUGAUCGAAGCCCCGGUAAACGGCGGCCGUAACUAUAACGGUCCUAAGGUAGCGAAAUUCCUUGUCGGGUAAGUUCCGACCUGCACGAAUGGCGUAAUGAUGGCCAGGCUGUCUCCACCCGAGACUCAGUGAAAUUGAACUCGCUGUGAAGAUGCAGUGUACCCGCGGCAAGACGGAAAGACCCCGUGAACCUUUACUAUAGCUUGACACUGAACAUUGAGCCUUGAUGUGUAGGAUAGGUGGGAGGCUUAGAAGUGUGGACGCCAGUCUGCAUGGAGCCGGCCUUGAAAUACCACCCUUUAAUGUUUGAUGUUCUAACGUUGGCCCCUGAUCGGGGUUGCGGACAGUGUCUGGUGGGUAGUUUGACUGGGGCGGUCUCCUCCUAAAGAGUAACGGAGGAGCACGAAGGUUGGCUAAUCCUGGUCGGACAUCAGGAGGUUAGUGCAAUGGCAUAAGCCAGCUUGACUGCGAGCGUGACGGCGCGAGCAGGUGCGAAAGCAGGUCAUAGUGAUCCGGUGGUUCUGAAUGGAAGGGCCAUCGCUCAACGGAUAAAAGGUACUCCGGGGAUAACAGGCUGAUACCGCCCAAGAGUUCAUAUCGACGGCGGUGUUUGGCACCUCGAUGUCGGCUCAUCACAUCCUGGGGCUGAAGUAGGUCCCAAGGGUAUGGCUGUUCGCCAUUUAAAGUGGUACGCGAGCUGGGUUUAGAACGUCGUGAGACAGUUCGGUCCCUAUCUGCCGUGGGCGCUGGAGAACUGAGGGGGGCUGCUCCUAGUACGAGAGGACCGGAGUGGACGCAUCACUGGUGUUCGGGUUGUCAUGCCAAUGGCACUGCCCGGUAGCUAAAUGCGGAAGAGAUAAGUGCUGAAAGCAUCUAAGCACGAAACUUGCCCCGAGAUGAGUUCUCCCUGACUCCUUGAGAGUCCUGAAGGAACGUUGAAGACGACGACGUUGAUAGGCCGGGUGUGUAAGCGCAGCGAUGCGUUGAGCUAACCGGUACUAAUGAACCGUGAGGCUUAACCUU
RNAcentral lists this ribosomal RNA (1184 nucleotides) under Escherichia coli. RNAcentral's name for it is "partial 23S ribosomal RNA". It matches the Rfam family "Bacterial large subunit ribosomal RNA", at positions 1744 to 2925 of the family's 2925-position model. The record is from RNAcentral. Lineage: Bacteria; Pseudomonadati; Pseudomonadota; Gammaproteobacteria; Enterobacterales; Enterobacteriaceae.